AUACGUAGGGGGCAAGCGUUAUCCGGAUUUACUGGGUGUAAAGGGAGCGUAGACGGAAGGCCAAGUCUGAUGUGAAAGCCCGCGGCUCAACUGCGGGACUGCAUUGGAAACUGGUCAUCUGGAGUGCAGGAGGGGUAAGCGGAAUUCCUAGUGUAGCGGUGAAAUGCGUAGAUAUUAGGAGGAACACCAGUGGCGAAGGCGGCCUGCUGGACGACAACUGACGCUGAGGCGCGAAAGCGUGGGGAGCAAACAGGAUUAGAUACCCUGGUAGUCCACGCUGUAAACGAUGAAUACUAGGUGUGGGGGGACUGACCCCAUCCGUGCCGCAGUUAACACAAUAAGUAUUCCACCUGGGGAGUACGAUCGCAAGAUUGAAACUCAAAGGAAUUGACGGGG
Molecule: ribosomal RNA, 396 nt
Filed under: uncultured bacterium
Lineage: Bacteria
Description: partial 16S ribosomal RNA
Rfam family: Bacterial small subunit ribosomal RNA
Source: RNAcentral